UAGGGAAUAUUGGUAAUGGGCGCAAGCCUGAACCAGCAACGCCGCGUGGAGGAAGAAGGUCUUCGGAUUGUAAACUCCUGUCAUCUAGGAGCAAGGCAUGGUGGUGAAUAGCCAACAUGAUUGAUAGUACUAGAAGAGGAAGGGACGGCUAACUUCGUGCCAGCAGCCGCGGUAAUACGAAGGUCCCGAGCGUUAUUCGGAAUCACUGGGCGUAAAGGGUGCGUAGGCGGUCGAGUAAGUCGGGUGUGA
This 249-nucleotide ribosomal RNA is filed under the name uncultured Luteolibacter sp. RNAcentral describes it as "partial 16S ribosomal RNA". It matches the Rfam family "Bacterial small subunit ribosomal RNA", at positions 355 to 597 of the family's 1533-position model. Lineage: Bacteria; Pseudomonadati; Verrucomicrobiota; Verrucomicrobiia; Verrucomicrobiales; Verrucomicrobiaceae. The record is from RNAcentral.